CCACGGCCGGGGCCGGGCCCGAGCUGUUCUCCCCCCCCCCGGUGCCGGGUCAGCCCCAAAUGAGGGGCUGGGGUCGGUCCCAUGUCCCUCCCGGCCGUGGUUUGAUUGGGGUUAAGUACCUGAUUCGGAGUGACUCCGGUUCGUGCUUCGCCGAGGGGUCGGGAGAUGCCCCGCUGCGUGCCAGGGGGGCGCAGGGCUGGAAAAACCCCGCAGCGUGAGGAAAGCACAGAGCAAGGAGAGGAAAGGAGCUAGGGUGAAACAGAGCAGAACAGGGAGGCAGAGCCUGAAAUGGUUCAUCCAAAAGCCACCGCAAAACCUCGGCUCUGUCUUUCGGUACGAUGCAGCACCGACGUCUCGGGGCUCCCCCGGACGAGGCCGAUGGCCCCGUGCAGCAAACAGCCAUAACCACGGCCCCGUCUCAAACCAGCCACAAUAUCACCGAGCUGCUCCGGGAGAAAGGUGGCUGGCAGCUCUGGUCGGCACCCUCGGGGGGCUGCUGGCUGCCCCGCUUGUCGCCAGCGCUCAGGGAUGGCUCGGGGCCUUGGCUGCAGACAGCAUCUGGCUGCAGCCUCGCCGCUCCUUGGCUCCCCGGAGCAGCUUCGGGGCCAGGCUCAGUCUGAAGCCUUUUUAUUGGGAGAUGCAAUUAACUUAAUAAGGGAACAAUUUUCUGUCGGGUCAAACUGAAUCAUUCCCGUUUGGAGAAGACGGCAUUUUUUUUUUUUUUACUGUUGAUUUUAAUGGCUAAAUUUAGCCCCCCGAAGCCCUGACUGCAUUACGAGGACUUUCUCUCCAAGGGACCCACUCACAGCAGAUUUUAUUCCUGAGAACUGGACUCUACAGCACGCUGGACCGAGCUCUGCUUCCUCAGCACAGACAGGAACCGCGGGGUGAGACCUGGAGGACUCCUGGGGCCGAGCUCGCCUCUCCUGCAGGAGCAAACUGGCAGCCGAGGAAAGCAUCUCACAUUCACGUGAAGCAAGCUUAUUUACAAGCAGUGAAGAAAGAAAUCAGCUGGAGUCUAGGGAUGAAAAUGGAAAGUUUCUCAGCAAUGAACCACCAGACCUCAGGUAACCGUAUCCUGCAGAAAGUUGUUUAAUCCAUCUAACCCUCUUCAGGGACUUCAGGCAAAAUCUGCGAAAGUGACACCAGUAAAUAGCUGAAUGCCACUUGUCCCCGCGGCCAAAGCCUUGCCUUGAGGAGAGGAUCCAAUGCGAUGCUAACGCUGACAAGCAGAAAAAAAAAAAAAAAGAGUAAUCGAAUCCCUGCCAGAUGAAAGCCAAUUGUACCCAAAGCUGAGGACUGACCUGAACGCCAGGAAGUUUUUCUAAGAUAGAACAGAGCCAUUGUGCUGCAGGUGAGGGAGGCCAAGGCAGGAGCUAACUGAGGAGGUAACCGAAGGGAAGAGGAAAGCGCCUGGUGCAAGACGGAGAGCCUUCAGGGCGAAGCAGCCCACACUCAGCUGUGGAUUGUACCCGUGGCAGCACCGAGGCCUGAAGGGUUUCAAACCAACCAACGUCACGUCUCUGCUCCUGCUUCAUCUUUCGCUGUCUGCAUCAGAAGCUCCUCAGGGCAAGAAGUCCUCCCGCAGCACACCCAGCCGUGGCGAGGACCCACGGCCAGCAGCGAGUCACCAGCACGGCUCCAUCCCACGCAGCGCCGGGGCUCUCCUGGCCGUGCUGCCUGAUUUUUGCCCUGCUCUGCUCCAAGGGACCGCGCUCGGCCGGCUCAGCUCCCUGCAUCAGUCCCUGCAGGGCUGCGUGGCAGCCUGCCCUGGCGCAAAGGAAUUGCUGGAAGCGCGCCCGGGCAGAGGGCUGGCACAGGUAGCUCCCUGCUCAGCUGAGCUGCACCGCCAGCCCGCUCCAGCGGGGGUUUACGCCGUGGGACCGAGCAGAUAACAGCCCCGCGGUGAUGGCAGAGCAGCUGCGCAGGCAGCUACAGGCAGAAAUAGGUUUUGGUUGAGCACCGCUCUGGAUCAAAUGAACGCUGCCGCUCCGGGUGAUCCCCUGGGAUCUGAAGUCUCGCUCAGCUAGAAAAAGCCUCCUGAGCGACUGGAACACAACGAGGUUUUGUUUCCCUUGGAGAAUCUAAAUGAAACGUGGGGCCCUGCGAGACAGACCUCCUCGCUCCUUAUUCUGAUUAAAAUUUUACACUAUGCUACCCGCUCCCUUCCCUUAAAACAGGGUGUCCAGCUGCCUGGAGACGUGUCCUCAGGGUGGGAGCAGCCAAACUGUGCUUGACAGGAGCACGGAGUAACUCCUAGAGCUGCGCCAAAUGCUAUGCAGGAAGAGCAGGAGGUAAAUCAAAUAGGUCGACAAGCGAGAAAGCACACAUCUGUCAUCUUGCUGAGUGAGUGGCCCUUUGGGAAGGGCCAGUGUUUUUACCCAGAGCUGCUGUGGAGCCACUAAAUAAUACUUACAAGCCGCUCUUGGGCAUGCCAAGGAAAUGAGACGAUACCGGCAGGAUCUCAGCAGAAGUUCGGUGCGGGGAGGACAGGCCGGCAAGCUCCGAUUUAAACAAAUGGCACAGGUUGCUAUGGGAACCUCGAGCAUUUAUAAGAAGCACUUCAAAAACAAAACAGAGUGAGGCAGAUUUCAUAUCCAGUCUGAAAAUGUUUAUGACCAGAAAAGGCAAAGUGGGUGUUAAAUGCUUUUUAGCUAAGUCAAUAGCACCGGCACUCGACGAGGAGGUAUUAUGGAUUUGCAGCACCCACCGUCCGUCUUCUGUCCUGAACCCCAGGAGAACAAUCUUCUGUACUCUGCCAGUAUUGUGGCACAAAAAUUCUGGUUUCUUAACCCCUUCCUGGCACCCCGUCUCUUUCUAAAUUACUGCUGUCAGAAGGAAAUUUCAGGUAGUUACAUUAAACCCAUCAGUCACGACAAGUGGAAAAUACACAGCUAGAAAUAAUCUGACACCGGAGAAUUAAAUUAUGUACUGCUUAACAGCUAAUCAAAACCAAAAAUAAAGAUAUUUUUUUUCUUGAAAAAGAGAAAUUAUGCCCUUGCUCUUGAUUUCCAACAGAACAUGCACAGAUCAACCUGGUACGGCCCAACGCUGCAAUAUUUAAUCAGGUAUCCCCCAGCCAUCAAGAGUUUGCGCUUGAAUAUUCAAUUAUCUGAAUAUUCAAGCUUUGAAUCCUUCGUGCAUGUAAAAGCAUUUGGUUUUGGAUAAACCAAACAGUCCCGCAAUGUAUUUUACUUUGUAUUAUUGUAACGAAUUCUGAGUUUACAACUUUUUCAGUAAGCUUCUGGCUGGGAUUCCUGUACUGUCAAAACAGUCCUGGGAAGCAAGAAAACCUUGGAACUGGAAAAUAAACCCUCUGGACAGCAUUUUUAGAGAUACUGUUUUCAAAUCCACAGAACUAGAGGAAAAGUUCCUCCAGCUGCUUUUAAGUUAAAGCCUAGAAUGUACCUACACAUUUAUGCUGUACAUAAACCUCACGCUGUGCACUUGACUCCAACAGCAGGAAGAGCUGAACACCACCACUCCAAAUUCUCCAGCUGGCCGGUCUCCAGUUAAAAUUCAAGCCUUUGGGUGUCAUGAAAACAACACCAGAGUUAAAAACCUUUAAAAACCCUACCUUUGCACACAUCCUCUUUGGGAACCAUGAGAGUGCUUUUGCAGUAUUAAAGACCAGAUUUCUACCUAGGAGAAAAACGUCCCCGCAGAAAGAUCUCCUGGGGAGAUGUGGGCUGGAAUCUCCUCUGCUCGCAGCCAUUUCCUGCGGUUCCGGCGGGCAGGAGGUUGCAAUCCGCUGCCACCUGGCUAGGUGACAUUUUUGGGAGGAGGUGGGGGGAGGAAGGAAGGACCCACAACUUCCCAGCUGGCACGAAGAAACCCGACCUCUGUGCCAACUGUUCCCCUUACAGCCAGGGCUCGAAGGCCAGGGGGAGGGACCACGCCACGUGCCUUCUCCCCACCGUCAUCCUGCUUCGGAUACGAGCAGCAGCACGGCCGGCACACAGACAGCAGCAAUAAAGUGAUGUCACCCCCGGAGAGCUCCAUGGGAUACGGCAUUCCUCUUUUAAAUCAUUUUAUUUUGAGGGGCAAACCUCUGUAUUUUUCCAGUUCAACCCAAAUAAACAAAAUUACAACACAGUUUGCUAACAUUAUGAAUUGAAACUGAGAAAGUAAGCAAGGAACUGUUUGUUUUCCUCAACAGCAUCAGUCUCCAGGGCCCUGCCUGUGCAUCACAGCCCCAUUGAAUUCAAACAAGUUGCAAUUUCCAUAGGUUUGGGUUUGUGGGUUUAAGAAGUUCCCACCAGUCCCCAUCUCCUACUCCUUUUGCAGCAUGACUGCUUUUAACAAAGUGUAAACAAACGUAGAACUAAAUGUAUGAACUACUAAAGGCUAACAUGUUGCCUAGUCAGAAUACCUGGAGAAAUCAGAUGCCCUUCGGUUAAGGAAAACACUCUUUUUAAGGACUGCAACAACUGGGCACACAUACAGGGACAUAAGCAAAGCACCAGCUACCUGAAGAAAAUGAAUUUUAAAGUAAACUCCACCUGCUUCAACAUGAAUUCUCAAAACAUACAUCACUGAGUCCAUAUCUUAGAUUCAAGUACAAGAAAUUAAUAUUACAUUGGAAACUUAUUUCAAAUGUAUUUCCAAAAACAUAUUGCUUUAGGAACUGGGAUAAAAGUGAAGAAAUUAUUAGAUAACAAAAUAAGCUUCCCAAUAACAUGCAUUCAUUUUAGAAGAAUAAGCUAUUUCAAAAUCUGUAUGGUGUUUUAAAUAGAGAAUCUCCUAAUAAGUUUGUCUGAUACACAAACAAAUUUGGCUUCUGCCAAAUUUCAGAAUACAGGGAAUGAAACGACUCGACAGCCUGUCCUUUAGGUUACCAGUGCCUUUAAAAAUAGGCAUAACUGAGUGUUAACAACUUGACUGCUCUUGUCCAGAACAACUUUAAACUACAGAUAAUGCUGGCUACGAAGAGACAGGCAUUUUCCAACCACCUGCUUAUUCUUGCAUUAAAGCAGCUUGCCAGUAUGUUACAAGGCACAGAGUAUUUCCCCGUGCUUAGAUCGUGCUUCAAGCAGAAAGCGAAGCGAUACCAAACCAGCGUUUUGAUCCGGGACAGGGGAUGCCAUCGCUGCAGUGAGAACCAUGCAGACAACAUGUGUGACGACUGAGAAGGCAACCACCAGCUCCCUGGUUCUAACAACAGGUAGGAUGUACCUAGGUCAGGCAAACUCCAACAAGGCAACCAAGAAUCGGGUCUGAGCUGCUGACUGCUGCUCUGUAACAGCAGCUAUUUGAGAGAGAGCCCUGCAAGCAAGCCCUGCUCUAACGCAGCAAGCACCACUCUAGGAGCAGGAUGUUUUGCUAGCAGCACCAGACUGGGUGCUGCGCCCGGUGAUACUAACACUAUACUUACAGCUUUACAACUUACAGUGUGAUUAUAAUAAUUUGUGUCCAAAUCUUUGGGCCAAUUCUGGAUAUCAAGUUUGGCAGCGCAAGUGUGAAUUUUAGGGAUGCUGACAUUUCUUGUCCCACCUAAAAUCACUGAAAGCCAUAACUCAGUUGUGCUAAAAAGAAAGUAAGAAUGCAUUAGUAAAUUCUAAAAAAAAAAAAAAA
Anas platyrhynchos (mallard) is the source of this 5574-nucleotide non-coding RNA. Lineage: Eukaryota; Metazoa; Chordata; Aves; Anseriformes; Anatidae. The record is from RefSeq and is a predicted model, not a curated record.